UACGAAGGGUGCAAGCGUUACUCGGAAUUACUGGGCGUAAAGGGUGCGUAGGUGGUUGUUUAAGUCUGUUGUGAAAGCCCGGGCUCAACCUGGGAAUGGCAAUGGAUACUGGACAGCUAGAGUGCGGUAGAGGGUAGUGGAAUUCCCGGUGUAGCAGUGAAAUGCGUAGAGAUCGGGAGGAACACCAGUGGCGAAGGCGGCUACCUGGACCAGCACUGACACUGAAGCACGAAAGCGUGGGAGCAAACAGG
RNAcentral lists this ribosomal RNA (251 nucleotides) under uncultured bacterium. RNAcentral's name for it is "partial 16S ribosomal RNA". It matches the Rfam family "Bacterial small subunit ribosomal RNA", at positions 524 to 776 of the family's 1533-position model. The record is from RNAcentral.